Molecule: long non-coding RNA, 639 nt
Organism: Anastrepha ludens (Mexican fruit fly)
Lineage: Eukaryota; Metazoa; Arthropoda; Insecta; Diptera; Tephritidae
Exons: 4
Source: RefSeq, a predicted model, not a curated record
UCACAACUAACUGAGAGAGUCACCUUACCAAUCCACCGAUCCGGCAGCAGUUAGGGGCCAACCUUGGCUGACGGGCGACCAAAGUGCAUCAGCAGCAACAGCAGCCGCAACGGCGGCGGCUCGACCAGCUACGACCACGAACUCAGAUAUCACUAUUGAAAUGUGUAUUAUAAAAAAAAUGAUAUAUUUGAUGCUGUCAGAACAUGGCGCCUCCUUAGCAAAACAGACACAAACACAAAUCAGACGAUCGGAAUAAACUUGGACAAGAAAAAUUUCUCGUAAACUAAAUAACCUUAUGAAGGCGACACAAAGCGUUCCCACGUUCAGGAUGUAUAUACGGCCAAGGAAUGUCACUUCACCGGCAUUCCCCCGUAUAUACUUGGGGAAUGUUUAUGCUGCUGCUUAUGGCGCCGCAAAACAAAUACGUAUUUUUUUAAUAUUGUAGCAGGAAAAUAUCUGCCGUUUAGAGUCAGCUUAAAACUGUAGGUCCUUCCAUUUAUGGAACGAAAUCAAGACGGACGCCACAAAUAGGAGGAGGAGCUCGGCAAAGAGGGAUCCUCUUCACUUUGAACAUGAGGUGUAUUUUUCUACUUUCUAUCUUCCUUGCCAAACCUUCCUUUCAAUUUUCAUUUUAAUUCA